CACCUAGUCGAAUCUGCGGAAGGAACAUUACCUAGAGUUUGUAGACUUCGGUCUGCUACCUCUUACCCAUGUCUUUUGAGUACCUUCGUUUCCUCGGCGGGUCCGCCCGCCGAUUGGACAACAUUCAAACCCUUUGCAGUUGCAAUCAGCGUCUGAAAAAACAUAAUAGUUACAACUUUCAACAACGGAUCUCUUGGUUCUGGCAUCGAUGAAGAACGCAGCGAAAUGCGAUAAGUAGUGUGAAUUGCAGAAUUCAGUGAAUCAUCGAAUCUUUGAACGCACAUUGCGCCCCUUGGUAUUCCAUGGGGCAUGCCUGUUCGAGCGUCAUUUGUACCUUCAAGCUCUGCUUGGUGUUGGGUGUUUGUCUCGCCUCUGCGUGUAGACUCGCCUUAAAACAAUUGGCAGCCGGCGUAUUGAUUUCGGAGCGCAGUACAUCUCGCGCUUUGCACUCAUAACGACGACGUCCAAAAGUACAUUUUUACACUCUUGACCUCGGAUCAGGUAGGGAUACCCGCUGAACUUAAGCAUAUCAAUAGCCGGGAGGAA
RNAcentral lists this ribosomal RNA (546 nucleotides) under Phellinus pectinatus. RNAcentral describes it as "eukaryotic LSU rRNA". The stretch from base 174 to 327 matches the Rfam family "5.8S ribosomal RNA". The record is from RNAcentral. Lineage: Eukaryota; Fungi; Basidiomycota; Agaricomycetes; Hymenochaetales; Hymenochaetaceae.